UACGUAGGGUGCAAGCGUUGUCCGGAAUUAUUGGGCGUAAAGAGCUCGUAGGCGGUCUGUCGCGUCGGAUGUGUAAACCCAGGGCUCAACCCUGGGCCUGCAUUCGAUACGGGCAGACUAGAGUUCGGUAGGGGAGACUGGAAUUCCUGGUGUAGCGGUGAAAUGCGCAGAUAUCAGGAGGAACACCGGUGGCGAAGGCGGGUCUCUGGGCCGAAACUGACGCUGAGGAGCGAAAGCGUGGGGAGCAAACAGG
This 253-nucleotide ribosomal RNA is filed under the name uncultured bacterium. RNAcentral's name for it is "partial 16S ribosomal RNA". It matches the Rfam family "Bacterial small subunit ribosomal RNA", at positions 524 to 776 of the family's 1533-position model. The record is from RNAcentral.